RNAcentral lists this ribosomal RNA (493 nucleotides) under uncultured bacterium. RNAcentral's name for it is "partial 16S ribosomal RNA". It matches the Rfam family "Bacterial small subunit ribosomal RNA", at positions 30 to 523 of the family's 1533-position model. The record is from RNAcentral.
AUUGAACGCUGGCGGCAUGCCUUAUACAUGCAAGUCGAACGGUAACAGGUUAAGCUGACGAGUGGCGAACGGGUGAGUAAUAUAUCGGAACGUGCCCAGUCGUGGGGGAUAACGUAGCGAAAGCUACGCUAAUACCGCAUACGAUCUACGGAUGAAAGCGGGGGAUCGCAAGACCUCGCGCGAUUGGAGCGGCCGAUAUCAGAUUAGGUUGUUGGUGAGGUAAAUGCUCACCAAGCCUGCGAUCUGUAGCUGGUCUGAGAGGACGACCAGCCACACUGAAACUGAGACACGGUCCAGACUACUGCGGGAGGCAGCAGUGGGGAAUUUUGGAGAAUGGACGACAGUCUGAGCCAGCAAUGCCGCGUGCAGGACGAAGGCCUUCGGGUUGUAAACUGCUUUUGUACGGAACGAAACGGUGAGCUCUAAUACAGUUUGCUAAUGACGGUACCGUAAGAAUAAGCACCGGCUAACUACGUGCCAGCCGCCGCGGUAA